CAUGGUUGUCGUCAGCUCGUGUCGUGAGAUGUUGGUUAAGUCCCGCAACGAGCGCAACCCUUAUUGUUAGUUGCCAUCAUUAAGUUGGGCACUCUAACGAGACUGCCGGUGACAAACCGGAGGAAGGUGGGGAUGACGUCAAGUCCUCAUGGCCCUUAUGGGUAGGGCUUCACACGUCAUACAAUGGUCGGUACAGAGGGUUGCCAACCCGCGAGGGGGAGCUAAUCCCACAAAGCCGAUCGUAGUCCGGAUCGCAGUCUGCAACUCGACUGCGUGAAGUCGGAAUCGCUAGUAAUCGUGGAUCAGCAUGUCACGGUGAAUACGUUCCCGGGUCUU
Molecule: ribosomal RNA, 336 nt
Filed under: uncultured Rhodocyclaceae bacterium
Lineage: Bacteria; Pseudomonadati; Pseudomonadota; Betaproteobacteria; Rhodocyclales; Rhodocyclaceae
Description: bacterial SSU rRNA
Rfam family: Bacterial small subunit ribosomal RNA
Source: RNAcentral